Nylanderia fulva is the source of this 474-nucleotide non-coding RNA. The record is from RefSeq and is a predicted model, not a curated record. NCBI's taxonomy places the organism in Eukaryota, Metazoa, Arthropoda, Insecta, Hymenoptera, Formicidae.
UGUCGUGCGCUUAUUAAUUGUAUUUAAGUAUUACAAUAGUAUGGGCGCGUAUAUAAUCAUAAUUGUUUUGCGAGUGCGCGCUUAUUAAUUAUAAUGAAUUAUUUUCACUAGAGAGUGUGCCACGAAGAAAAUAUAGCAACAGUGAAAUAAGAAAGGAGGAGAUAGUCCGAAUGAAGUGGCAUCAAUCGAAGGUUUAACAUGAGAUUAACGUUAUGCUGACAACAUCGACAAAUUGAUGAGAGAUAGAGUUGAGAAAAAAAAAUCGAGCGCCGACAACGCAACCUUAACUCAAUGUGUAGCUUGUAGUCAAAUGUUGUGCAUCGAUUGGUGAGCAAUAAAUUAUUAUUACGAGGUAAUGGUUUCGUAGAUUUAGAGUGUGAAAAUGUAGAUAUAGAUUGUGUAGAUUGUAGACUGUAGAUUGUAGAUAGUUUUUCCGUUACCUCAAAAUGGGGAUGGAUUACAAAUUACAAUAUU